UCUUGUUGGUUGCCAUCAAUGCAUAGUAUUGCUUCCUCAGAUAGGUGGAUGUAUAUUCUAUGAUUGGCAUCAUCACUUCUGGAAUGGUAAAGUAUUUCCGCCGGUACGAUGACAGCUCGUUCUUGCAUAGAGAGUCGCAAUUGUGUUUGCAGAUAUAUUUGUUGCUCGAUAGUGUAAUUGGGAGAGAUUCCUCCCAUAAGCCUCCUUCCCAGCCUCCUUGUGGCCUGCUGGGCAUUAUGUAGCCUUAUGUGGUUGCGCCUGUAUUCACGAAUUUGAUCUUCAAAGAGUGGAACCUGUGGGAGGCUGGUUGCUUGCUCCUGGAUGAUUCUGGUAGUCAUAGCCAUCUAGUUUUUUUUAAACUUUUCCUGCUCCUCCUUUAGAAUUUUGUAGGGAUCUUUGAAUACUCGUAGCUUGUCUCUCUUCUUUUUUGAUUUCUCCGAAGGUCCUAGAGAUAAAUUUUGCAAUUUUUCAAUAAGGGAAUCAGGUAAACUGGUUGAAGAUUUACCUCCCUUUAAUUGCUCGAUGAUUAUUUUCAAGUCUACCUGUAUGUCUUUGAGACUUUCAGUAAUUUGGACUAGUAGUUGAAGUUGCAUGUUGUUUUGUUUGAUGAGGGCACUACUUGAUGUUGAGACAGUAGGGUAGUCACUAGAUUUUGCAAAACCUAUAGCGAGGGGCUGCUCAAUGUGCUCUGUUGCUUGCACCGCAUCUUUGUAAGAUUUGGCUCCCCUUAUUUGCUGGCCUCUUCUUCUACUAGCUUUGGCUGCUUAGAAAACUUGAUCGCAAGUUCUGUGGCUUCUUGUUUUGUUAGAGGAACGCUUUUGUGGUAGAAAUGGAGAAGAAACGCGCUAAGGAGAAGCAUGUGGAGAAGAGAGCAGAGUAGGGUUGUGCCUCUUGGCGCGACCAUGCCUCUUGGCACGAUCGUGUUGGCGCUACUUGGAAUUCCGUUCUGUUUUCCCUGUACAAAAAUUUGUACAAGCACAGAACUUUUCUUA
Molecule: long non-coding RNA, 992 nt
Organism: Zingiber officinale
Lineage: Eukaryota; Viridiplantae; Streptophyta; Magnoliopsida; Zingiberales; Zingiberaceae
Exons: 3
Source: RefSeq, a predicted model, not a curated record